UUAAGCCAUGCAUGUCUCAGUAUAAGCUUCUAUACGGCGAAACUGCGAAUGGCUCAUUAAAACAGUUAUAGUUUAUUUGGUGGUCAGCAAUUGCAUGGAUAACCGUGGUAAUUCUAGAGCUAAUACAUGCGUCCAAACCCGACUUCGUGGAAGGGUUGUGUUUAUUAGAUACAGAACCAACCCAGGCUCCGCCUGGCCUUGAGGUGAUUCAUAAUAACCGAACGAAUCGCAUGGCUAUGCCGGCGAUAGACCAUUCAAGUUUCUGACCUAUCAGCUAUCGUCGGUAGGGUAUUGGCCUACCGUGGCAAUGACGGGUAACGGAGAAUUAGGGUUCGAUUCCGGAGAGGGAGCCUGAGAAACGGCUACCACAUCUAAGGAAAGCAGCAGGCGCGCAAAUUACCCAAUCCUGACGCAGGGAGGUAGUGACAAGAAAUAACAAUACAGGGCAUACAUGUCUUGUAAUUGGAAUGAGUAAACUUUAAAUCACUUUACGAGUAUCAAUUGGAGGG
RNAcentral lists this ribosomal RNA (509 nucleotides) under uncultured eukaryote. RNAcentral's name for it is "SSU rRNA". It matches the Rfam family "Eukaryotic small subunit ribosomal RNA", at positions 44 to 555 of the family's 1831-position model. The record is from RNAcentral.